CCUACGGGCGGCUGCAGUGGGGAAUCUUGCGCAAUGGGCGAAAGCCUGACGCAGCAACGCCGCGUGAGCGAUGAAGGCCUUCGGGUUGUAAAGCUCUGUGGAGGGGGACGAAUAAGUGCCGGCUAAUAUCCGGCGCGAUGACGGUACCCCUUUAGCAAGCACCGGCUAACUCUGUGCCAGCAGCCGCGGUAAGACAGAGGGUGCAAACGUUGGUCGGAAUUACUGGGCGUAAGGCUGGAGUAGGCUGCGUGAAAGCCCUGGGCUCAACCCAGGAAGUGCACUCGAAACUUCCAAGCUGGAGUCCUGGAGAGGAAGGCGGAAUUCUCGGUGUAGAGGUGAAAUUCGUAGAUAUCGAGAGGAACACCGGUGGCGAAGGCGGCCUUCUGGACAGUGACUGACGCUAAGACGCGAAAGCGUGGGGAGCAAACAGGAUUAGAUACCCCUGUAGUC
Molecule: ribosomal RNA, 450 nt
Filed under: uncultured bacterium
Lineage: Bacteria
Description: partial 16S ribosomal RNA
Rfam family: Bacterial small subunit ribosomal RNA
Source: RNAcentral